GAUGAACGCUGGCGGCGUGCUUAACACAUGCAAGUCGAACGGAAAGGCCCAAGCUUGCUUGGGUACUCGAGUGGCGAACGGGUGAGUAACACGUGGGUGAUCUGCCCUGCACUUCGGGAUAAGCCUGGGAAACUGGGUCUAAUACCGGAUAGGACGAUGGUUUGGAUGCCAUUGUGGAAAGUUUUUUCGGUGUGGGAUGAGCUCGCGGCCUAUCAGCUUGUUGGUGGGGUAAUGGCCUACCAAGGCGUCGACGGGUAGCCGGCCUGCGAGGGUGUACGGCCACAUUGGGACUGAGAGACGGCCCAGACUCCUACGGGAGGCAGCAGUGGGGAAUAUUGCACAAUGGGCGCAAGCCUGAUGCAGCGACGCCGCGUGGGGGAUGACGGCCUUCGGGUUGUAAACUCCUUUCGCUAGGGACGAAGCGUUUUUGUGACGGUACCUGGAGAAGAAGCACCGGCUAACUACGUG
This 468-nucleotide ribosomal RNA is filed under the name uncultured bacterium. Its description in RNAcentral is "partial 16S ribosomal RNA". It matches the Rfam family "Bacterial small subunit ribosomal RNA", at positions 28 to 507 of the family's 1533-position model. The record is from RNAcentral.